Molecule: ribosomal RNA, 457 nt
Filed under: uncultured bacterium
Lineage: Bacteria
Description: bacterial SSU rRNA
Rfam family: Bacterial small subunit ribosomal RNA
Source: RNAcentral
UACGGGAGGCAGCGGUGGGGAAUAUUGCACAAUGGGCGAAAGCCUGAUGCAGCUAUGCCGCGUGUAUGAAGAAGGCCUUAGGGUUGUAAAGUACUUUCAUCGGGGAGGAAAAAACAAAACUAAUAAUUUUAUUUCUUGACGUUACCCGAAAAAGAAGCACCGGCUAACUCCGUGCCAGCAGCCGCGGUAAUACGGAGGGUGCUAGCGUUAAUCAGAAUUACUGGGCGUAAAGAGCACGUAGGUGGUUUUUUUAAAGUCAGAUGUGAAAUCCCUGGGCUUAACCUGGAACUGCAUUUUGAAACUGAAAUACUAGAGUAUCGUAGAGGGAGGUAGAAUUCUAGGUGUAGCGGUGAAAUGCGUAGAUAUCUGGAGGAAUACCUGUGGCGAAAGCGGCCUCCUAAACGAAUACUGACACUGAGGGUGCGAAAGCGUGGGGAGCAAACAGGGAUUAGAUACC